Molecule: ribosomal RNA, 492 nt
Filed under: uncultured bacterium
Lineage: Bacteria
Description: partial 16S ribosomal RNA
Rfam family: Bacterial small subunit ribosomal RNA
Source: RNAcentral
AGUGAACGCUGGCGGUAGGCCUAACACAUGCAAGUCGAACGGCAGCACAGUAAGAGCUUGCUCUUACGGGUGGCGAGUGGCGGACGGGUGAGGAAUACAUCGGAAUCUACUUUUUCGUGGGGGAUAACGUAGGGAAACUUACGCUAAUACCGCAUACGACCUACGGGUGAAAGCAUGGGAUCUUCGGACCUUGCGCGAUUGAAUGAGCCGAUGUCGGAUUAGCUAGUUGGCGGGGUAAAGGCCCACCAAGGCGACGAUCCGCAGCUGGUCUGGGAGGAUGAUCAGCCACACUGGAACUGAGACACGGUCCAGACUCCUACGGUAGGCAGCAGUGGGGAAUAUUGGACAAUGGGCGCAAGCCUGAUCCAGCCAUACCGAGUGGGUGAAGAAGGCCUUCGGGUUGUAAAGCCCUUUUGUUGGGAAAGAAAAGCAGCAGGUUAAUACCCCGCUGUUCUGACGGUACCCAAAGAAUAAGCACCGGCUAACUUCGUG